RNAcentral lists this non-coding RNA (148 nucleotides) under Gorilla gorilla gorilla (western lowland gorilla). The record is from Rfam by way of RNAcentral. Lineage: Eukaryota; Metazoa; Chordata; Mammalia; Primates; Hominidae.
GCCGGGCGUGGUGGUGUGUGCCUGUAGUCCCAGCUACUCAGGAGGCUGAGGCAGGAGAAUCGCUUGAACCCAGGAAGUGGAGGUUGCAGUGAGCCAAGAUCACGCCACUGCACUCCAGCCUGGGUGAUAGAGUGAGACUCUGUCUCAA